Molecule: ribosomal RNA, 119 nt
Filed under: Pteropus alecto (black flying fox)
Lineage: Eukaryota; Metazoa; Chordata; Mammalia; Chiroptera; Pteropodidae
Source: RNAcentral
GUCUAUGGCCAUGCCACCCUGAACAAGCCCAAUCCCAUCUGAUCUUGGAAGCUAAGCAGGGUCAGGCCUGGUUAGUACUUGGAUGGGAGACCAUCUAGGAAGACCAGAUGCUGUGUGCA